Molecule: long non-coding RNA, 248 nt
Organism: Anopheles cruzii
Lineage: Eukaryota; Metazoa; Arthropoda; Insecta; Diptera; Culicidae
Exons: 4
Source: RefSeq, a predicted model, not a curated record
UAAGUAUUCCAAGCAAAGUGAUGACGCCUCAGAGCCAGCCGCAUUCGCCAAAUGUCUGCAGAAGGUAUCGCCGAAAGAAUCUGCUGCAGGAGGAUGCCGUAAAUGAUUAUAAUUACCACGAAGUGAGCUGAGCAACGUCCCAUCCCGAGAAGGAAGCGCGUGAAAUGGUGCCGUAGGACGCUGGAGAAGUAUAGUGAUGUGCAUGUGAUAAUUAUAGUGGUGUUUUUAUCGUGUUUGUUACAAAUACA